RNAcentral lists this ribosomal RNA (457 nucleotides) under uncultured bacterium. RNAcentral's name for it is "bacterial SSU rRNA". It matches the Rfam family "Bacterial small subunit ribosomal RNA", at positions 32 to 519 of the family's 1533-position model. The record is from RNAcentral.
AAUCAACGCUGGCGGCGUGCCUAACACAUGCAAGUCGCACGAGAAAGUGGAGCAAUCCAUGAGUAAAGUGGCGCACGGGUGAGUAACACGUGAAUAAUCUACCUCCGAGUGGGGAAUAACUGAGAGAAAUCUUAGCUAAUACCGCAUAACACUUACGAGUCAAAGCAGCAAUGCGCUUGGAGAGGAGUUCGCGGCCGAUUAGUUAGUUGGCGGGGAAUGGCCCACCAAGACGAUGAUCGGUAUCCGGCCUGAGAGGGCGCACGGACACACUGGAACUGAACACGGUCCAGACUCCUACGGGAGGCAGCAGUGGGGAAUUUUGCGCAAUGGGGGAAACCCUGACGCAGCAACGCCGCGUGGAGGAUGAAAUCCCUUGGGAUGUAAACUCCUUUCGAUAGGGAAGAUAAUGACGGUACCUAUAGAAGAAGCCCCGGCUAACUUCGUGCCAGCAGCCGCU